CUAAACAUGCAGUCGAGCGGAUGGAUUAAGAGCUUGCUCUUAUGAAGUUAGCGGCGGACGGGUGAGUAACACGUGGGUAACCUGCCCAUAAGACUGGGAUAACUCCGGGAAACCGGGGCUAAUACCGGAUAACAUUUUGAACCGCAUGGUUCGAAAUUGAAAGGCGGCUUCGGCUGUCACUUAUGGAUGGACCCGCGUCGCAUUAGCUAGUUGGUGAGGUAACGGCUCACCAAGGCAACGAUGCGUAGCCGACCUGAGAGGGUGAUCGGCCACACUGGGACUGAGACACGGCCCAGACUCCUACGGGAGGCAGCAGUAGGGAAUCUUCCGCAAUGGACGAAAGUCUGACGGAGCAACGCCGCGUGAGUGAUGAAGGCUUUCGGGUCGUAAAACUCUGUUGUUAGGGAAGAACAAGUGCUAGUUGAAUAAGCUGGCACCUUGACGGUACCUAACCAGAAAGCCACGGCUAACUACGUGCCAGCAGCCGCGGUAAUACGUAGGUGGCAAGCGUUAUCCGGAAUUAUUGGGCGUAAAGCGCGCGCAGGUGGUUUCUUAAGUCUGAUGUGAAAGCCCACGGCUCAACCGUGGAGGGUCAUUGGAAACUGGGAGACUUGAGUGCAGAAGAGGAAAGUGGAAUUCCAUGUGUAGCGGUAAA
Molecule: ribosomal RNA, 655 nt
Filed under: Bacillus cereus
Lineage: Bacteria; Bacillati; Bacillota; Bacilli; Caryophanales; Bacillaceae
Description: bacterial SSU rRNA
Rfam family: Bacterial small subunit ribosomal RNA
Source: RNAcentral